This is a long non-coding RNA of Mus musculus (house mouse), 5089 nucleotides long. RefSeq annotates it as predicted gene, 51532. NCBI's taxonomy places the organism in Eukaryota, Metazoa, Chordata, Mammalia, Rodentia, Muridae. The record is from RefSeq and is a predicted model, not a curated record. The transcript is spliced from 2 exons.
UUCGCUUGGUCCUUGUGAAUGAAUGUCCUGCCCUCAGGGCCCUGAUUGGCUAGUGAAAUCUGAAUGACAGCUCCCAUAAGUGGAUGAACUGAAAUUAAAAGACGUGGACCACACAGACCUUCCCAACUCUGGCUUUCACCCAAGUUCAUGCAAGUCUGCUUCAAGACGAUCUGAUUGAAGCAGGACUUCCUUGUGCAUCCCAGAACUUUCACAGCUUGUCUUCUUGCACUCAGUAGGUACUUAAGGUUCUUCCUCUUGGAAGCCUUGUUUUUGUGCACAGUCUAUUACAUACACUCCCCAAGGCAGUGAUCACUUUGCCUCACAACUAGACCAGGGCCCAACCCAACCCCUAUCACAUCGAAACAAGACUUGAUGUCCUCCGGGUUUCAGGAAUUUCAGCAAGUCACGCCAAAGAUUGCUCAAUUAUAACAAGUUGCACCUUUUCUUUUUAAGCAGAGAAGCGAACCCAUUCCAAGACCAAGGUGGUGUUGCUUUUCCUGCAAUCCCAACAAAGGAGGUGGAAGCCAAAGAACCAGGAAUUCGGGAUAUACUUCCUGAAAAACUUCCAGUAUCAAUCACAGACUACUCCAGGUCAACAGAAGCAAUUACAAACCAACCUCCCUAAAUGGCCAACGAGCACCUGCUCCAGCUCCUGGGGAGCUAGCAUUCAUGUACCCUCCGAAAAGUUCUCAGAAUUCCGAAUGUCACAGAGACAUCACAGUAUCACACAAUAUCGCAGAAACUAUCUGCGGCUGGCAAUACCAUACCUCUGCUAGAGCAUGAGGCAAAUCGUAGUCAGCUGCUUUGGACAGUCUGAAGUGUCCCAUAUCUCCACUCCUUGGUUUAAAAUGAAAACACAUUCUUAUAAUAUUUCUGUGUUUUUAAAGAAACCAAAAUUCUGAAGUUGUCACUACAUUAAUUCUUCACUGAAUAGAGAAACCAAGGGGUGGAAAGAGAGCUUGCAGGAAACAGUAGCAAAAAGGCAAGCAAUAGCUAAGAAGUAAUUACACAAGCCAGGCUUGGUGUCACACACGUUUAAUCCCAGCAUUCUGGUGGCAGGGGCAGGCAUUUUUCUGAGUUUGAGGCUAUGGUCUACAUAUUUCUGAGUUCUAUGGUCUACAUAGCAAUAUCCAGACAGUCAGGGUUGUAUGGUGAGACACUGUCUCAAAAACAAACAAACAAAACCACACCUCUGAAACCACAGGCAUAACUGAUACAAUCAUCAGCAUACAGAAGAAGGGCUUAAAGGACACUGGAGACACUCCUGAGAAAGCAGACACGGUCUGAUGAAAGGCUUCUAAGGAGAAUUCAUUAGAAGAGACAAACACAGUCAUAUUGUGGUGAUUAAAGAAAACAGUCUCUCAAGAGAAAACUGGGAUUCUGCACACUUAAUUUAAUAAAAGAAAUACUAGCCGGGUGUGGUGGCACACACCUUUAAUCCCAGCUCGGGAGGCAGAGGCAAGCGGAUUUCCGAGUUUGAGGCCAGCCUGGUCUACAAAGUGAGUUCCAGGACAGCCAGCUACAUAGAGAAACCCUGUCUCAAAAAACAAAAACAAAAAACAACAACAACAACAAAAAAAAAAACUAAUGGGCUGUAGAGGUACAAAUAAACUGCAACCCAAUAACAGUGUCAAUACAAUACAUUUGGAACAAGGCAGGUGAUCAAGCCAAAACAACAACAACAACAACAACAACAACAACAACAAAAACAUCAAAUAUAAAUAUCAAAAGUUGAGAAGUACGGAGCUGGAAAGACGGGUCAGUGGUUAAGAACACUGGCUACUCCUCCAGAGGGACCAAAGUUUGGUUCCCAGCACCCACAUUGUGGUUUACAGCCCGCCAUAACUCCAGUUCCAGGGGAUGUUACUCCCUCUUCUGACCUCCAGAGACGCUAGACACAAAUAUGGUGUGCAUACAUAUAUGCAGACAAUGCAUUCAUACACAGAGUAUGAAUUCAUAUAUAUGUGUGAAUUAUAUAUACUUCCAUCAGGGAACCAUUUCCUCUGCUCAGAUCUAUGCAGAGCAGGAAAAGAAAAUGUUCCACUCCUUUCUCUUUUAUGAUUUAUGUCUCCUUUUUAACCAAUGACCAUAAAAACCACCAUUCUCUUAGAAGAUUUUUCUUUUUAAUGUGCUCCAGGCCUGGGAAAGAGGAACGCUGCCAGACAACACAACCUAGACAGAAUGGGAUUUUCCCUUCUGUCCAACACUGACCAAGGAAGGAAAUGUUAGAAAACAUUUCAAUAGGUUCUUUUUAAAGGAUUAAAGAUAGCUUCUAAAAAGAUUUCCUUUGCCAGGUGGUGGUGGUGCAUGCCUUUAAUCCCAGCACUAAGGAGACAGAGGCAGGCAGAUAGAUCUCUGUGAGUUUGAGGCCAGCCUGUUCUACAGAGCAAGUUCCAUGACAGCCAGGGCUACACCCUGGCUUGAAGAAAAAAAACAAAACUAAAAGAAAGACUUUCUUUGUCACCCAGUCAGCCCCAGUUAUUAGAAAAAGUUAAAAAUUUUGGAAAUGUUUGAAGGUAUGAGGAGGUCCCAGUUGACGGAAGCAGCUUAAAGGGUAUUUAAUAUCAAAAGAUUGGUUGGGACAAGAACUUUUGCAUAAACUGAAAUCCACCAUUACCUUCUCUUAUGAUGAGACAUAGACUUAUAGAUAUCCAGCAAAAUUUCUUACCCUCUGUCAGAAAUAGAUGCCCCAGGGUUGGCCCAACACCAAGCACCUAUAACUGUUCAACUAACCAGUUCAGCUUCCUCCAUCCAGAUUAAACAAUACGCAGUGACCCUGGAAACAAAUGGGGAAUUUGCAGGCUAUAUUUCCUGGCUUGAAGAGACAGGCAUCCUGGUGCCAUGCCAGUCAUCCUGGAAUCUACCUCUCGUGCCUGCAAAGAAACGUGAGACCUUAGAUCCUCAUGAGUCUGACUCUUCCAGAGAAACACGAACACUGUCUUGGACCUGAACGAUGCUUUCUUUAGCCUCCACUUGUCAGAGACGAGUCAACCCAUCUUUACUCUUAAAUGGACAGACCCAGUGGGAGGCUUCAGCAGGCAACAUACCUGGAAUAGGUUGUCCCAGGAUUUAAAGACACUAAAUACAGACUUCCAGUCCUUCCAUUAGAGGUUUCCUGAGAAAAUACAUCCUAAAAGGGCCACUGAGUGACUGUUUUAAGAGUUACACCCUAGGCUACAAAAUGUUGGCUAAGAAAGCCCAACUUUGUAGAAGAUUGGAAUCGCCCAAAAGAACGAUUUCUAAACAGGUUGGCAUCCCCCUUUGCCCUAUUAGCCUUUCCUUUCCACUACCUCUGGUGGGUGGUGGGCUAGAAGGAAGCUUAAAGCAUUGGAGAAUGCUUAUUAAAGUAGGUUUUGAAAAAUCUAAGCCAGAAGCUCAGAAUACACGAGAUACAAUUUGCAAAACACAUGAAACUCAAGAAGAAGGAAGAUCAAAGUGUGGAUACAUGAUCCUUCUUAGAAGGGGGAGCAAAACACCCAUGGAAGGAGUUACAAAGUUCAGAGCAGAGACUGAAGGAAGGACCAUUCAGAGAGUGCCCCACCUGGAGAUCCAUCCCAUAAACAACCACCAAACCCAGACACUAUUGCAGAUGCCAACAAGAUUUUGCUGGCAGGAGCCUGAUAAAGCUGUCUCCUGGGCUGGCAAGAUGGCUCAGGGGGUAAGAGCACUGACUGCUCUUCUGAAGAUCCUGAGUUCAAAUCCCAACAACCACAUGGUGGCUCACAACCACCCAUAAUGAGACCUGACACCCUCUUCUGGUGUGUCUGAAGACAGCUACAGUGUACUUAAAUAAAACUUUUUUUAAAAUGUAAAAAAGAAAAAAAAAAGAAAGAAAAAGCUGUCUCCUAAGAGGCUCUGCCAGUGCUUGACAAAUACAGAAGAGGGUGCUCACAGCCAUCCAUUGGACAAAGCACAGGGUCCCCAGUGAAGGAGCUAGAGAAAGUACCCAAGGAGCUGAAGGGGUUUGCAACUCCAUAGGAGGAAUAACAAUAUAAACUAACCAGUACCUCCAGAGCUCCCUGGGACUAAACCACCAAUCUACUGGUGUCUCUAGCUGCAUAUGUAGCAAAGGAUGGCCUAGUCGUUCAUCAAUGGGAGGAGAGGCCCUUGGUCCUGUGAAGGUUCUAUGCCCCAGUAUAGAGGAAUGCCAGGGCCAGGAAUGGGAGUGUAUAGGUUGGGGAGCAAGAGGAGUGGGAAGGGGAUAGGGGAUUUUCAGAGAGGAAACUAGGAAAGGGGAUAACAUUUAAAGUGUAAUUUUUUUAAAAAAGAAAUGUUCCACAUCCUUUGUCAUUAGGAACAUGUAAAUCAAAAGGACCCUGAGAUUCCUGCUCACAAGAAUCAGGACGGCCAAGAUAAAAUAUUCAGGGGAAAUCAGAUGCUGGUUAGGAUGUGGAAAAACAGGAACAACUCCUCCAUUGCAGAUGGAAUUGCAAGCUGGUACAACCCUAUGGACAACAAUCUGGUGGUUCCCCAGAAAAUACAAAGUAGUUCUACCUGAGGACCCAGGUAACCACUGGUGACACUAAAUAUCAACAAAGAAGAGUCUACAAGCCUCAUUCCAGAAGGAGUCCAACAGGCUGUGUAAGCCAACUACAGAUUGAUUUGAUUUGAUUGAUUGAUUGAUUGAUUGAUUGAUUUAUGGCUUGGAGAUGAGGUGUCUAAAGACACAUAUCAAGCAGCAUGUAGUUCCUUCACAUGAAUAGAAUAUCUAAUGAAGGUAAAGCAGAAGAUUUGGAAUACACUUUCUCCCUUCAACGCUGGAUCAAACCUUUUCAUAAACUACAAAUCUCAAGACAUGUCAGCUACGGUUAGCUUGCAACAUUUCCUAGAACUGGUGGUGUUUUUUGUUUUUUGUUUUUUGGUUGGUUGGUUGGUUUUUGGUUUUUCGAGACAGAGUUUCUCUGUGUAGCCCUGGCUGUCCUGAAACUCACUCUGUAGACCAGGCUGACCUCAAACUCAGAAAUCUGCCUGCCUCUGCCUCCCAAGUGCUGGGAUUAAAGGCGUGAGCCACCACUGCCCGGCUUGGUGGUGUGUUUUAAGAUUGUACUUAAUAAAUAUACAGAGUGCCUGCAGUGUUUUCAACUGUAAA